GAUUACUUGCCAAGCGCUUAAAACCCAAAGGACUUGACGGUACCCCAUAUCCACCUAGAGGAGCCUGUCCUAUAAUCGAUAACCCACGUUUAACCUCACCAUUUUUAGUUAUUCAACCUGUAUACCUCCGUCGUCAGCUUACCUCGUGAGCGCCAAAUAGUGAGCAUAAUGUCUUCCCUCAAUACGUCAGGUCAAGGUGCAGUUAAUGAAGCGGAAAGAGAUGGGCUACACUUUCUAUCUUAGAACACACGGAAAACUAUCAUGAAACCUAGUUUGAAGGCGGAUUUAGUAGUAAAAAGAAAUCAACAUACUCAUUUUAAAUUGGCACUGGGGUGUGUACACACCGCCCGUCACCCUCUUCAAGCAUUUUCC
Molecule: ribosomal RNA, 372 nt
Filed under: Amazophrynella xinguensis
Lineage: Eukaryota; Metazoa; Chordata; Amphibia; Anura; Bufonidae
Description: partial 12S ribosomal RNA
Rfam family: Bacterial small subunit ribosomal RNA
Source: RNAcentral